CGCCAGAGAACUACUAGCAACAGCUUAAAACUCAAAGGACUUGGCGGUGCUUUAUAUCCCUCUAGAGGAGCCUGUUCUAUAAUCGAUAAACCCCGAUAUACCUCACCACCCCUUGCUAAUUCAGUUUAUAUACCGCCAUCUUCAGCAAACCCUAAAAAGGAGGAAAAGUAAGCACAAAUAUCUUAACAUAAAAAAGUUAGGUCAAGGUGUAACCCAUGAGGUGGGAAGCAAUGGGCUACAUUUUCUAUCUCUAGAACAUUUUUACGAACACCCUUAUGAAACAAAGGGCUAAAGGAGGAUUUAGUAGUAAACUAAGAAUAGAGCGCUUAG
RNAcentral lists this ribosomal RNA (330 nucleotides) under Paradoxurus hermaphroditus (Asian palm civet). Its description in RNAcentral is "partial small subunit ribosomal RNA". It matches the Rfam family "Bacterial small subunit ribosomal RNA", at positions 870 to 1361 of the family's 1533-position model. The record is from RNAcentral. Lineage: Eukaryota; Metazoa; Chordata; Mammalia; Carnivora; Viverridae.